RNAcentral lists this ribosomal RNA (252 nucleotides) under uncultured bacterium. RNAcentral's name for it is "partial 16S ribosomal RNA". It matches the Rfam family "Bacterial small subunit ribosomal RNA", at positions 524 to 776 of the family's 1533-position model. The record is from RNAcentral.
UACGUAGGUGGCAAGCGUUGUCCGGAAUUAUUGGGCGUAAAGGGCGCGCAGGCGGUUCGGUAAGUCUGUCUUAAAAGUGCGGGGCUUAACCCCGUGAGGGGACGGUAACUGUCGAACUUGAGUGUCGGAGAGGAAAGCGGAAUUCCUAGUGUAGCGGUGAAAUGCGUAGAUAUUAGGAGGAACACCGGUGGCGAAAGCGGCUUUCUGGACGACAACUGACGCUGAGGCGCGAAAGCGUGGGGAGCAAACAGG